UUACCACUAUUUUAUUAAAAUAUGUUAUAAUUCCGCCAAUACAAUAUCAAUUUGUAAAAGUGAACGCAUACUUAGGCGGAAAAGAAACUUUGUCUUGAACUGGGUUCACACAAUUUGACUGAAAAGUAAUUUGGAAAAGUUUGCUAGCUAGCUAGCUAGCUAGUUAGCUCACUUAGCUAGUAAAGGUGGAAUAUUUUCACGAAGAUGACCAACGCAGCAACAGCAACAAGUGCAGUGAGACGUGAGAUAAAGAAAAAAAAGAAAAAAGAAAAAGGAUUUGACCUCAUAAGACAAGUGACACGAAGAGAGACAACGUAACCAGAAACAGCGCCACCCAUAGGCCUGGAAUAUGUACUACUGCCUUUCUACAACUAGAUGUGGUUUUGCAAUUUAUGGCGAAAUACUCAACACGACACCAAGGAAAACCAGAGAAAAAGAGAUCGUUGUGGUCCGUGUGAACGUGGCCUCAGACCUCCACGAAUCCACUCAGGACGCAGUGUCACAAGUGGAAUAAAUCUUCUAAGUCCUGUUUGAGGGAGAUCUGAAACAUGACAGAGUCUACAACACUGACAGCUCCACCUGGCCUGAAAGCUGACUGGAUGACAGAGAGGAGCUGCACAGAAGUAGAGUCGAGAGGUCUGGUUUCCAAGGAGAGGAGAAAAAGAGAAGGGAUGCUUUUCACUUGCAUGGCAGCACCCCUCCCUCUCAUUCUUCUCCUAUCAUUCCGGCGACCACUUUUAUGCAUGAAACAGAGAGGUAGAUUGAAAGCAUUCACCGGCCAUUCAGACAAUGAAGAAAGGAGAUCCUCAGAGCUUUAUUAGAUAUGAAGAUCUACAAUAAAAAUCAAUUUCUGGCCUCUUUAUGCAGUUUAAAUGACAAAGCCUCAACCCAUUCAGCCAUUGUGUGCAGGAAAGUAAUUCUGCAGCACCGGCCGAGACAAGAGCGGCGUAUACUUUCUGACCUGCGAUUGCAGAUUCUAAUAUGAUACAGACCUACUGAGAUAAUAGGAGGCACUUAAUAUCAUCUGUUGAGAAGAAAAAAAAAAGUUAUCUCAUAUCUUUUGGUAGAUAGAUGGAUGGGGGAUGAGGUUUAAACCAUUUCACUGGCGGAAUACUAAACAGGCUGAGAUGGACAGCUGAGCGUUUCACUCCUGUCACCGCUCCCUAAUGUGAAGCUUAGGAACACUGGGUGAAAUGAUGGAAAUAUGAUACGGUCAGUUUGAUGAAACAAAGUCGCGUUAUCAAAUUAUUCCGUGGAGUUUUGACAGCGUUUGCAGAUGUAAUGUUGCUUCGUUUCAGCAGGCUUACAACAACAACACGCGUGCAAAAUUCCAACACGGGCUAAAUGCUGCACGGGAAGGGAGUUGCGUUCAGUUUUCUUCCGUUUGUUUUUGUCAAAACUCAUCACACGCCUGUAUCCGUCAGACACCGGUUAACAGCGCAAACGCCCAUGUAUAGAUUCUCAUCCAUCACACCAGAGCGACGCCGGGGCAUCUGAUUCAGCUGCAUCACGACGAGCGCAAACGUGCAGUCAUAAAGAAGAACAAUGAGCGGUGCAACGGAUCUGGGUCUGAUCCCCGCAGGGGCCCGGAUCUCAACAUUACGGAGUCAGCCUGGAUUACAUGAGGAGACAGAAGACACGCAAUCCACACAAGGACUGUGGCAAGUUCAUUAAAAAAAAAAAAAAAAACGGUGUGGUUUUAAAGUGAAAGGGUGCUCACAUCAAAUAUGAUUUCUAUGACUGCUGCAUCCACGCUGCAAGAGGGAACGCUACUGCAGGUUCUGCAUCCCAGCUGCCAUCAGGCUGUACAACACCAGCCCGAAUUAACAAUAACUUACAACUGGGACUGUCUUUGUGACCUGAUUUGUCCUUUUUGCGGACUAUUUUGCACAAUAAUCUGCUUUUUUUUACACUGCCUAUCUCACACUAACUACCUCAAUGUCCACAUUCACCGAUCCAAGCAAUUUAUAUUGUAUUCCAUUUUUUUUAAGCAUUUUUUGUAAUUCCCUGUCCACACUGUUUAUACUGACUAUCAGAGUGCCGUGUAUUCUUGUUUAUUCUUUACUGUCUUUUAUUGUUUCUUGUAUAUAUUUUUGUGCCUUAUUCUGUGACAAGGUCAUUUCCCAUACGCAGGAGAAAUAAACAUUGUCCUAUACCUUA
Molecule: long non-coding RNA, 2160 nt
Organism: Mugil cephalus (flathead mullet)
Lineage: Eukaryota; Metazoa; Chordata; Actinopteri; Mugiliformes; Mugilidae
Exons: 4
Source: RefSeq, a predicted model, not a curated record